Molecule: ribosomal RNA, 485 nt
Filed under: uncultured bacterium
Lineage: Bacteria
Description: partial 16S ribosomal RNA
Rfam family: Bacterial small subunit ribosomal RNA
Source: RNAcentral
AUUGAACGCUGGCGGCAUGCCUUACACAUGCAAGUCGAACGGCAGCGGGCCCUUCGGGGUGCCGGCGAGUGGCGAACGGGUGAGUAAUGCAUCGGAACGUACCCGGGAGAGGGGGAUAACCGGCCGAAAGGCUGGCUAAUACCGCAUGAACUCGGAAGAGCAAAGCGGGGGACCUUCGGGCCUCGCGCCCUCGGAGCGGCCGAUGUCCGAUUAGGCUAGUUGGUGGGGUAAAGGCCCACCAAGGCGACGAUCGGUAGCGGGUCUGAGAGGACGAUCCGCCACACGGGGACUGAGACACGGCCCAGACUCCUACGGGAGGCAGCAGUGGGGAAUCUUGGACAAUGGGCGCAAGCCUGAUCCAGCAAUGCCGCGUGGGUGAAGAAGGCCUUCGGGUUGUAAAGCCCUUUCGGCGGGGAAGAAAUCGGUCAGGCGAAUAGUCUGGCCGGAUGACGGUACCCGCAGAAGAAGCACCGGCUAACUACGUG